CAGCAGCCGCGGUAAUUCGAGAGGUCCGAGCGUUAAUCAGAAUCACUGGGCUUAAAGCGUACGCAGGCGGACCGGUAGGUAUCUUGUGAAAUCCCACGGCUUAACCGUGGAACUGCAGGGUAAACCCCCGGUCUUGAGGCAGGUAGGGGUCAGUGGAACCAUGAGUGGAGCGGUGAAAUGCGUAGAUAUUCAUGGGAACGCCAAUGGCGAAGGCAGCUGACUGGGCCUGUUCUGACGCUCAUGUACGAAAGCGUGGGGAGCAAACAGGACUAGAUACCCUGGUAGUCCACGCCGUAAACGAUGCACACUAGGUCGGGGGAGCUCUCAUGCUUUCCCGGCCGAAGGUAAACUGAUUAGUGUGCCGCCUGGGGAGUACGGUCGCAAGGCUAAAACUCAAAGGAAUUGACGGGGGCUCACACAAGCGGUGGAGCAUGUUGCUUAAUUCGAGGCAACGCGAAGAACCUUACCUGGUCUUGACAUGUACGGAUUAACCUUUGGAAACAUUGGCCACGCCCUUUGGGUGGAACGUACACAGGUGCUGCAUGGCUGUCGUCAGCUCGUGCUGUGAAGUGUUGGGUUAAGUCCCUUAACGAGCGCAACCCCUAUCGCUAGUUACUAACGCGUUAUGGCGAGGACUCUAGCGAGACUGCCGGUGUCAAACCGGAGGAAGGCGGGGAUGACGUCAAGUCCUCAUGGCCCUUACGACCAGGGUUGCAAACGUGCUACAAUGGUAUGGACAGAGCGACGCGAGGCCGCGAGGCGGAGCAAAUCGCAAAAACCAUGCCCCAGUUCGGAUAGCAGGCUGCAAUUCGCCUGCUUGAAGCCGGAAUCGCUAGUAAUCGGAGAUCAGCUACGCUCCGGUGAAUACGUUCCUGAGCCUUGUACACACCGCCCGU
RNAcentral lists this ribosomal RNA (896 nucleotides) under uncultured Planctomycetota bacterium. Its description in RNAcentral is "bacterial SSU rRNA". It matches the Rfam family "Bacterial small subunit ribosomal RNA", at positions 509 to 1397 of the family's 1533-position model. Lineage: Bacteria; Pseudomonadati; Planctomycetota. The record is from RNAcentral.